UAGCUUGCUACCUGACCUAGCGGCGGACGGGUGAGUAAUGCUUAGGAAUCUGCCUAUUAGUGGGGGACAACAUUCCGAAAGGAAUGCUAAUACCGCAUACGCCCUACGGGGGAAAGCAGGGGAUCUUCGGACCUUGCGCUAAUAGAUGAGCCUAAGUCAGAUUAGCUAGUUGGUGGGGUAAAGGCCUACCAAGGCGACGAUCUGUAGCGGGUCUGAGAGGAUGAUCCGCCACACUGGGACUGAGACACGGCCCAGACUCCUACGGGAGGCAGCAGUGGGGAAUAUUGGACAAUGGGCGAAAGCCUGAUCCAGCCAUGCCGCGUGUGUGAAGAAGGCCUUUUGGUUGUAAAGCACUUUAAGCGAGGAGGAGGCUACUUGGAUUAAUACUCUAGGAUAGUGGACGUUACUCGCAGAAUAAGCACCGGCUAACUCUGUGCCAGCAGCCGCGGUAAUACAGAGGGUGCGAGCGUUAAUCGGAUUUACUGGGCGUAAAGCGUGCGUAGGCGGCUUUUUAAGUCGGAUGUGAAAUCCCUGAGCUUAACUUAGGAAUUGCAUUCGAUACUGGGAAGCUAGAGUAUGGGAGAGGAUGGUAGAAUUCCAGGUGUAGCGGUGAAAUGCGUAGAGAUCUGGAGGAAUACCGAUGGCGAAGGCAGCCAUCUGGCCUAAUACUGACGCUGAGGUACGAAAGCAUGGGGAGCAAACAGGAUUAGAUACCCUGGUAGUCCAUGCCGUAAACGAUGUCUACUAGCCGUUGGGGCCUUUGAGGCUUUAGUGGCGCAGCUAACGCGAUAAGUAGACCGCCUGGGGAGUACGGUCGCAAGACUAAAACUCAAAUGAAUUGACGGGGGCCCGCACAAGCGGUGGAGCAUGUGGUUUAAUUCGAUGCAACGCGAAGAACCUUACCUGGUCUUGACAUAGUAAGAACUUUCCAGAGAUGGAUUGGUGCCUUCGGGAACUUACAUACAGGUGCUGCAUGGCUGUCGUCGGCUCGUGUCGUGAGAUGUUGGGUCAAGUCCCGCAACGAGCGCAACCCUUUUCCUUAUUUGCCAGCGGGUUAAGCCGGGAACUUUAAGGAUACUGCCAGUGACAAACUGGAGGAAGGCGGGGACGACGUCAAGUCAUCAUGGCCCUUACGACCAGGGCUACACACGUGCUACAAUGGUCGGUACAAAGGGUUGCUACCUAGCGAUAGGAUGCUAAUCUCAAAAAGCCGAUCGUAGUCCGGAUUGGAGUCUGCAACUCGACUCCAUGAAGUCG
This 1257-nucleotide ribosomal RNA is filed under the name uncultured Acinetobacter sp. RNAcentral's name for it is "bacterial SSU rRNA". It matches the Rfam family "Bacterial small subunit ribosomal RNA", at positions 76 to 1328 of the family's 1533-position model. The record is from RNAcentral. Lineage: Bacteria; Pseudomonadati; Pseudomonadota; Gammaproteobacteria; Moraxellales; Moraxellaceae.